UAGGGGUACGGCUGGAAAAACCGCCGUGCAACCCAAAGGUGUGACGCAUACCGAACUAAAGUAGGGAAAUGUGUGAGCCGGCUGCCGAGAAAAGCCGCUAUUGUUUGUACUGUACCCGUACCGCAAACCGACACAGGUGGAUGAGGAGAGAAUCCUAAGGCCGACGGAAGAAGCAUUGCUAAGGAACUCGGCAAAAUGACCCUGUAACUUCGGGAGAAAGGGUGCCUCGAAAGAGGCCGCAGAGAAUAGGCCCAAGCAACUGUUUAGCAAAAACAUAGGUCUAUGCAAAACCGCAAGGUGAAGUAUAUGGGCUGACGCCUGCCCGGUGCUGGAAGGUUAAGGGGAGAUGUCAGGAGACGAAGCAUCGAACUUAAGCCCCAGUAAACGGCGGCCGUAACUAUAACGGUCCUAAGGUAGCGAAAUUCCUUGUCGGGUAAGUUCCGACCCGCACGAAAGGCGUAAUGAUUUGGGCGCUGUCUCGGCAAUGCAUCCGGUGAAAUUGAAGUGCCAGUGAAGAUGCUGGCUACCCGCGCCAGGACGGAAAGACCCCAUGGAGCUUUACUCCAGCUUGAUACUGGGAUUCGGUAUUGUAUGUACAGGAUAGGUGGGAGGCUGAGAAAUGGUGACGCCAGUCGCCAUGGAGCCGCUGUUGGGAUACCACCCUUGCAGUACUGGAUUUCUAACCAGCAGCCGUGAUCCGGCUGGGGGACAAUGUCAGGUGGGGAGUUUGACUGGGGCGGUCGCCUCCGAAAGGGAAUCGGAGGCGCUCAAAGGUUCCCUCAGAAUGGUCGGAAACCAUUCGAAGAGUGCAAAGGCAGAAGGGAGCUUGACUGCGACACCGACGGGUGGGGCAGGUACGAAAGUAGGACUUAGUGAUCCGGUGGUAUUAAGUGGGAAUGCCAUCGCUCAACGGAUAAAAGCUACCCUGGAUAACAGGCUUAUCACUCCCAAGAGUUCACAUCGACGGAGUGGUUUGGCACCUCGAUGUCGGCUCAUCGCAUCCUGGGGCUGUAGUAGGUCCCAAGGGUUGGGCUGUUCGCCCAUUAAAGCAGUACGCGAGCUGGGUUCAGAACGUCGUGAGACAGUUCGGUCCCUAUCCGGCGUGGGCGUAGGAUAUUUGAGAGGAGCUGACCCUAGUACGAGAGGACCGGGUUGGACUGACCUCUGGUGCACCGGUUGUCAUGCCAAUGGCACUGCCGGGUAGCCAAGUCGGGAAGGGAUAAACGCUGAAGGCAUCUAAGCGUGAAGCCCCCCUCAAGAUGAGAUAUCCCCCGCAUAAGCGGUAAGACCCCUUGAAGACGACGAGGUAGAUAGGGCAGAGGUGGAAGUGCAGUAAUGUAUGGAGCUGACUGCUACUAAUAGGUCGAAGGCUUAACUA
Molecule: ribosomal RNA, 1378 nt
Filed under: metagenome
Description: bacterial LSU rRNA
Rfam family: Bacterial large subunit ribosomal RNA
Source: RNAcentral